RNAcentral lists this microRNA precursor (145 nucleotides) under Gossypium hirsutum (cotton). RNAcentral's name for it is "MIR7502 microRNA precursor family". It matches the Rfam family "MIR7502 microRNA precursor family". The record is from Rfam by way of RNAcentral. Lineage: Eukaryota; Viridiplantae; Streptophyta; Magnoliopsida; Malvales; Malvaceae.
UGUUAUAAAUUUCAUUCAUUUUUACCAUUAAAAACUAGCAUGAGUAACAGAACAACCAAAUAGUAAUACGUGAUGUGCCACGUGUACCUCAUGUUGACAUACAAAGACUGGUUUUUACUAGUGAAAAUGGAUGAAUUUUUUAACA